RNAcentral lists this ribosomal RNA (597 nucleotides) under Saccharomyces cerevisiae (brewer's yeast). RNAcentral's name for it is "eukaryotic LSU rRNA". It matches the Rfam family "Eukaryotic large subunit ribosomal RNA", at positions 1 to 677 of the family's 3401-position model. The record is from RNAcentral. Lineage: Eukaryota; Fungi; Ascomycota; Saccharomycetes; Saccharomycetales; Saccharomycetaceae.
CGUCUGGACAGCGACAUACGUAUCUCUAGUCGGAGGAGAAAGCUCAAAUUUGAAAUCUGGUACCUUCGGUGCCCGAGUUGUAAUUUGGAGAGGGCAACUUUGGGGCCGUUCCUUGUCUAUGUUCCUUGGAACAGGACGUCAUAGAGGGUGAGAAUCCCGUGUGGCGAGGAGUGCGGUUCUUUGUAAAGUGCCUUCGAAGAGUCGAGUUGUUUGGGAAUGCAGCUCUAAGUGGGUGGUAAAUUCCAUCUAAAGCUAAAUAUUGGCGAGAGACCGAUAGCGAACAAGUACAGUGAUGGAAAGAUGAAAAGAACUUUGAAAAGAGAGUGAAAAAGUACGUGAAAUUGUUGAAAGGGAAGGGCAUUUGAUCAGACAUGGUGUUUUGUGCCCUCUGCUCCUUGUGGGUAGGGGAAUCUCGCAUUUCACUGGGCCAGCAUCAGUUUUGGUGGCAGGAUAAAUCCAUAGGAAUGUAGCUUGCCUCGGUAAGUAUUAUAGCCUGUGGGAAUACUGCCAGCUGGGACUGAGGACUGCGACGUAAGUCAAGGAUGCUGGCAUAAUGGUUAUAUGCCGCCCGUCUUGAAACACGGACCAAAAGAUGCA